CACAUUUUGUUUUCAGAAAAAAAAGCUUCAUAUUCUAAAAUCAAAUUUCCUUUCCACAUUUUUUUUGAGUCCGAGAGAAACUUAAAAAUGGUGAAACGCAAAAACCCAAACUCGAUGAUCUUCGUACGAAGCUGUUGAAGAUCUUUCAUCAUCACCGACAACUGAAAACUUCAUUCCACACUCUCAAAUCUUCGAUUAAGACGUGCUUACUCGAUGUAAUUUCUAAAAUUUCCCUAAAAAUUCUUUUUAGUUUCUAGGGUAUGAUUUUUUUUUUUGAUAGAUUUUCCUGAAGAUGUAUUUACUUCACCAUCGAUUCCUUUAAUGAAACUCGUUGGUUUGAAGACUGAAGAAAUGGCUGAACAAGGAAGAUCCUCUAAUUUUUACAUGGAAUCUGAUUCGACGGUGUGAAGGAUUUGAUACAAGAAUUGGUCAACAGAUGUGUAAUCCAAUGGUGGAUUAUGUGCAAGGAAUUAAGGCUGAAAUCGCAACAGGUGGUGCAUUGAAAAAACUAAUUGAUGUUGUGAGUGAGAUGGACAGAGUGAUUUUAGAUGGAAGAUUAAAACUUGCAAAGGCAAAGAAGGAGGCGAGAAUUGAACAGGCGAGGAUGGUCGAGGCUUUGAGUAGAUUAAAAGAAACAGAGGAGAAGAGAUUAGCUCUGAAUGAGUUGUUUGGGUUUCUUUUGAAGGCCAAGAAUACUCAAAGGAACCUUCAUUACUUCAACAUAAGAUGGCACUCCGGUCAAAGGCAGGCCACCACUCAGUUGCGCGUCUGAGAGGUGCUAUGGAAGACGGAAAAGGCAGGCCACUUCUCAGUUGCGUGGCUGAGAGGUGCAAAGGAAGAUGGCAAAGGCAGACCACCACGCAGUUCUGUGACUGAGAGGUGGAAAGGAUGGCGACGAAGUUCCAAAGACAGAGAGGCACAAAGAUGUGUGCUAAAUGGGAGUCUCACUGACCGGCUUAGCUUCUAUAUCCCAUAUAGUUCAACGAUCAUUAUUGGAACACAGCUAAGUGAUGUUGUCUUUCUCUUUGUUUUCUUGAUUUCUGAUCCCUAUAUAAUUCACCUACAACUAAUGGAACACAGUAGUAGGGUUUCAGACAAAGUAGGGUUUCAGACUUAGAUAGUUUUUUCUCCUCGAUCAUGGAAGGUAACUCAUGGAGGGUCUUGUGGUGGAUAGAAUGGGCUACUUUACGUUUCUCUAUUCUUCCUUCAUUUGAGCAAUCGUUUUGCAACCCAUCAGGAGAUAGAACCAUAUACUUGUCUGAUUAAUCUGAGCCACCUCUUUCGAAAACUUACUUAAGAAUUGUGUUAAAGUCACGUGUUUUAACAUUUGUAGGCAAGUUUUUUUUUUCUAUCAAUCAUAAGUUGAGCAUGUUUAACUUCAACACUACAUUUACUGUAUUUCUGCAGAAAGUUCUUACUGGUUUGAGAUGCAAAGGAAGAGUUGAAAACCUUGCUAGCUACUUCAGACAUAGAGGGGUUGCUGCUGCUGCUUGAAAGAAAGCCAUGGCGUAGCGAACCCUAUGCAACUACUCUGGAUUUUGAUGGCACUCUGGUCAAAGGCACACCACUCGUUCCGGAGACUUAAAGAGGUGCAAAGGCAGGCAACCUCUUGGUUCCGUGACUGAGGGGUGCAAAGGAAGACUGCAAAAGCAGGCCACUUCUCAGUUCCACGACUAAGAGGUGCAAAGGAAGACGGCAAAGGCAGCUAACUGCUCGGUUCCACGACUGCUCUUGCUGGAUAUGUUGGAUAUUCAGAUGGCCCUCCUGUCAAAUGCAGACCACCACUCAGUUUCGCGACUGAGAGGUACAAUACUACCCAGUUCCACGACUGUGUGGUACCAAGGAAGAUGGUGAUGGCAGACCACCACUCAAUUACUAGACUAAGAGGUGCGAAGGAAGAAAAUUACCCUGAAGGUGUUCAUGCUGAGUCCAUUAGUAAACUCUAUAAUCUCCAAACUCUCACCAUUUAACUAUUGAAAGACCUUUAAAAAAUUCUCAACCAGAUUUGUUCUUAGAUUAAUUUGCAACAUCUGGAUUUCUUGAGUUCAUACGCCAAGUCUCUACCUGAUUCUAUCACGAUGGUCACCAAUUUGCAGACCUUAAAUAUCAGGUGUUGUAGACACGUCUGUUUCUUGCCACAAACAUUGGUCAACUCGGAGAUGUAUCAUCCCUUGACAUUUCACUUACCUACAAAUGUCUCAGAGUUACAAUAUCUGGCCUCAAUAAUUUAGUGAAGUUCAACCUCAUCGAUUGUGAUCAAUUAGAAGCACAUGUCGUAUUGCAUUAAGUUGGAAAAGGGAGGCUAUGGAAACAAUUAGUAAUGAUUCUGAUCCAAACAAAUGGAAAAAAUCCUAAUCCAGAAGGCAAAAAUCUAAAUUGUGCCUUUGACCGACUUUGACUAUAUUGAAACAGAAAAAACAUGAUCCAGAUUCCAGACGAUAGCAUACAACUAUGUCUCAUUUUGUGUCUGGAAAUGAUAUACUGGACCAUUUCUCGUCUGUUUUGGUCGGUCUAAUUCCGUCAACCAGCAGUAUUGACCGAAGGAUAAUAAAGCCAUGGAAAAUCAGACCUUCCCGCGGAGAGUUCAACUAUGUAGAAUUUUGGCGGGGUUUUGCCUUACAAGGCCAAAGAACAAACCCGAAUGUCGAUAUUUUUCAUACCAAAGACGGUCAAUUUUCUUUUUAUUUUUCUUUAUUUCUAAAUAGAUGAGAAACCUUACAGAAAUUUGUAGAUAGAACUAAAAAGGAGCUGAGCAAGCAAGAGGAGGUUUUAAAGAGUCAGCUGAUCAGAGGAGUAUUUCCUUCAAUUCAUAUCAAGAUAGAUAUGACAAAUAGCGGGAAUUAUAAGAGAAACAAGAAGAAGAGGGCAAAAUUAAUGAAAGAGAAGGCGAAAGCAGUAAUGGGCUGAACAGAAUCAAAACUUCAUUCAUCCAGCCAGUAUGAAAUCACACUAAAGAUAGGCAAAGAGAGACGACAAAAGUUCUCUUCGGUUUCUUUUUUCGAAAUUAAAGUUGGCAUCCACAUAGGAGUCAUGAAGGUUGUCAAUCUUUUGAACAUGAUGAUUGUCGUCAGAGAUCAAGGUCUCCUCGAGUUUGCAGCCGCGGUCUUGUGACUCCAACUUGGACGAUUGUGGUGAAGGGGUUGCCAAAAGAGACGACUGAGGAAAAUAUUCAUCAGAUCCUAGCAGAAUGGAGGCCCCCUUCGUAAUGUUCGAGUCAUGCUGUGGAAGCGGCUCGAAAGAUGAUGGAUGAAAUUGGAGAUUGUGGCCUCGAUGUUAAUGGGCGAAAGCUGUCUUUCGAGUACAGGUACAUGUUUUGAACAAAAGGUCUUAAUUAGUUCUCAACUUCUGGAUUGGUUAUAAAGAAUCUCAACCUGUUCAAGUCACAAGAGCUUUAGAAUAUGUGGUCUGCAGCCUUGAACCUGAAUCUCUUUCUAUAUGUUUAUGUGCAUCGUUAAUUCACGAAUGAUCUAAGAAAGUCGGCGUUGUUCACAGAAUAGGUGAAAUAUUUGAAUUGGCUAGUGAAGAUCCGAUUGGGGAUGAACCAUAUAAUAUGAAUCUCAUUCAGCCGAGAACAAUGGUGUCUUAUUUUCCCUUGUAGGUUGGUAAACAAAUGAAUCAUAUGUUCUUCAACGAAUAUCGAAAGUCAGUCGUAUGAUAAUGUAUUUACUUAUGCAGACAACUAUAAUAAGUACACUAUCUUUGAACUAUGAUUUUGGGCAUACCAAAAUUUUCAAGGCACAUACUGAAUGAAGACAAAAAAG
Papaver somniferum (opium poppy) is the source of this 3761-nucleotide long non-coding RNA. RefSeq lists it as uncharacterized. The transcript is spliced from 9 exons. NCBI's taxonomy places the organism in Eukaryota, Viridiplantae, Streptophyta, Magnoliopsida, Ranunculales, Papaveraceae. The record is from RefSeq and is a predicted model, not a curated record.